This 739-nucleotide ribosomal RNA is filed under the name uncultured bacterium. RNAcentral describes it as "bacterial SSU rRNA". It matches the Rfam family "Bacterial small subunit ribosomal RNA", at positions 8 to 741 of the family's 1533-position model. The record is from RNAcentral.
AGGGUUUGAUCAUGGCUCAGAAUGAACGCUGGCGGCGUGGAUAAGACAUGCAAGUCGAACGGAAAGACUACUAGUUUACUAAUAGUUUUUUAGUGGCGGACGGGUUAGUAACACGUGAGUAACAUGCCUUGAAGUGGGGGAUAGCCUUUCGAAAGGAAGAUUAAUACCGCAUGUGGUCUUCGGACCAAAGAUGCCUUUGGGUGUCGCUUUAAGAUUGGCUCGCGGCCUAUCAGCUAGAUGGUGAGGUAACGGCUCACCAUGGCAACGACGGGUAGCUGUUCUGAGAGGAAGAUCAGCAACACUGGAACUGAGACACGGUCCAGACACCUACGGGUGGCAGCAGUCGAGAAUCAUUCACAAUGGGGGAAACCCUGAUGGUGCAACGCCGCGUGGAGGAUGAAGGCCCUAGGGUCGUAAACUCCUGUCAUAUAAGAGUAAGGCAUAUUUGGUUAAUACCCAUAUAUGUUUGAUAGUAUUAUAAGAGGAAGGGACGGCUAACUUCGUGCCAGCAGCCGCGGUAAUACGAAGGUCCCAAGCGUUAUUCGGAAUCACUGGGCGUAAAGAGUACGUAGGCGGUUUGGUAAGUCAGGUGUGAAAUCCCGGAGCUCAACUCCGGAACUGCAUCCGAUACUGCUAGACUGGAGUAAUGGAGAGGCAGGUGGAAUUCUCGGUGUAGCAGUGAAAUGCGUGGAUAUCGAGAGGAAGACCAAUGGCGAAGGCAGCCUGCUGGACAUUUACU